CUUUCCAACUGGGUGGGCAGCUUUCUGAAGUUAAGGCUCCUGUCCUGGUGGAGGGAGCAGGUUCCCUGGUGGUCCAAUUCUGUGUGGAGACUUUGGGAGCUGCUCCUGGAAGCUCAGCCCUCCCAACAAUUCUGCAAGCCAUUUAACGCUUUUCCGUCUAAGCCAACGAGAGUGCAAUCCAUUAUACACAACAGAAUCCUGACUCAGACAUUCUGUCUUCUAAGCCUAAGAGUCGCAACACAACUCUAAAAUAACACUGCAUUCUGCAUGAGCUGAAGCUCCUGCUCUCACCCAAAUUCCCUGGUGUGUUCUUUGUGAGGUUUCUAAGUGUAAGCACAGACUCACAGAAAGUCUUUUAUGAUAGAUCAUUGACCCAAUCCUCAAUCCUCUCAUGUAUGGCUCCCUUAUCUAGGGGACUUUGGCAUGUCAUGUGAUCUCCCUGUGAAUGAGCCAAGACAAGGACUCCCAGCCUUCUGACUGCUAAAUCAUUGCUCUCUUCAUUACAUCAUAUUGUCACAGCUGUUUUGCAAGAUGACUAAUUUAUGAGAAUAGUUCAAACAACGUAUCUGGAAGUAGAUUUUUAAAAAGAGAACAGAGUCUUCAAUUGCCAGUGAUUGUCUAUAGCUUUUACUUCCUCAAGACACCACUUUACGUUGUUUAUUCUGAUCCAGGCACAGUACAACUUCAUUUUAUUCUCCAAAUAAAAGACUGCUGAAGCUUCUGAGAAAAAGAAAAAAGCGAAGGAUCAUCUUUGAUCAUGCAGUGAGCUGAUUCCAAAAUGUGGACAAAAAGCAGACUCAAAGGCAAUGAUUCCGAGAAACAGUGAAUGUCACAAGGAGACACCUGGGCUCUUUAUAAAGAGGUCUCUCUCAGCCUCCCUGCGCUUAGGGACAGUGGACAGCACUGCAGCACUGCAGCACUGCACUUGGGGCCAUUUUAAACAGCGAAGUCACCAAAACCACGCAAAAAAAUGCUAAAAGCACAGUACUAAACAGACCAUGGAAAAGACAUAUGUACAGUAUGAGAAGGUAAAGUGUCUGUCUGACCUCAGUGGGGAGCAUAAGCACUGGAUGACUCAACGUUUUCACUUCUCUGUGCAUGUCCAAAAAUGACAAAAAUGACUCAGUGGAAGUACUCUGCCUGUUGAUUUGGGGGUUAAAAUACA
Molecule: long non-coding RNA, 1165 nt
Filed under: Homo sapiens (human)
Lineage: Eukaryota; Metazoa; Chordata; Mammalia; Primates; Hominidae
Description: HSALNT0388700
Source: RNAcentral